AUGGCUGGGCCGUGGCUAAUCAUUGGCGACUUUAACCUGAUCACGGACCCAUGUGACAAAAACAAUGAUAGAAUUUGCCGCCGCUGGAUGAAUAAGUUUCGCCGCACUCUGAAUAACUCUAGCCUUCGCGAGCUUCCUCUCAUUGGUAGAAGGUUUACAUGGAGUAACGAGCAAGACUCGCCCACACUAGUUAGGCUUGAUCGUGCCUUUUGCAAUGUUGCCUGGGAACUGUUGUUCCCGGCUGCGAAACUUCUCCCGCAAGCCUCGUCCAUCUCGGACCACUGCCCGCUUCUCCUCCGCAGCGAGGUGAUAAUCAAAACUAACCGAAGAUUCAGAUUCGAAGCAUACUGGCAGCACAUUCAGGGUUUCCAUGAGGUGGUACAGCACUCGUGGUCUAAACCAGCCGGUAGCCGCUGCCCGAUCUCACGUUUCAAUCACAAGUUGUGGCGACUCAGCAAGGAUCUUAGAGCUUGGAGCAAGUCCAUCGUAGGGGAUAUUAACAAGCAGCUGUGCAUGGCCAACGAAAUUGUUUUGCAGCUGGACAUGGCACAAGAUUUCCGUGCCUUGUCGAUUGAGGAGAGGAACUUGCGCUCCAAGCUCAAGUCAAGGAGUUUGGGUCUCUCGGUUCUGCUUAAGAUCAAAUUAAGGUAG
Molecule: ribosomal RNA, 651 nt
Filed under: Triticum aestivum (bread wheat)
Lineage: Eukaryota; Viridiplantae; Streptophyta; Magnoliopsida; Poales; Poaceae
Description: partial small subunit ribosomal RNA
Source: RNAcentral